This 475-nucleotide ribosomal RNA is filed under the name uncultured bacterium. RNAcentral's name for it is "bacterial SSU rRNA". It matches the Rfam family "Bacterial small subunit ribosomal RNA", at positions 47 to 518 of the family's 1533-position model. The record is from RNAcentral.
CUUAACACAUGACAAGUACGACGAAGCAGCAGCGAAGGAGGCUUCGGCCAAUGGAACUGUUGACUUAGUGGCGGACGGGUGAGUAACGCGUGAGCAACCUGCCUUUCAGAGGGGGAUAACGUUUGGAAACGAACGCUAAUACCGCAUGAUAUAACGGUAUCGCAUGGUAUUGUUAUCAAAGGAGCAAUCCGCUGAAAGAUGGGCUCGCGUCCGAUUAGAUAGUUGGUGGGGUAACGGCCUACCAAGUCGACGAUCGGUAGCCGGACUGAGAGGUUGAACGGCCACAUUGGGACUGAGACACGGCCCAGACUCCUACGGGAGGCAGCAGUGGGGAAUAUUGCACAAUGGGCGCAAGCCUGAAUGCAGCAACGCCGCGUGAGGGAAGACGGUUUUCGGAUUGUAAACCUCUGUCCUUGGUGAAGAUAAUGACGGUAGCCGAGGAGGAAGCCACGGCUAACUACGUGCCAGCCGCUGC